RNAcentral lists this ribosomal RNA (1398 nucleotides) under uncultured bacterium. RNAcentral describes it as "16S ribosomal RNA". It matches the Rfam family "Bacterial small subunit ribosomal RNA". The record is from RNAcentral.
UUCGCCCUUAGAGUUUGCUUUUGGGUCAGGACGAACGCUGGCGGCGUGCUUAACACAUGCAAGUCGAGCGGAGACUUAUUGAGGAAGUUUUCGGAUGGAAUUGAUAAGUUUUAGCGGCGGACGGGUGAGUAACGCGUGAGCAACCUUUCCUUCACUGGGGAAUAACACAGGGAAACUUGUACUAAUACCGCAUGAGACCACAGGACCGCAUGGUUCAGGGGUCAAAGAUUUAUCGGUGAAGGGUGGGCUCGCGUCCGAUUAGGUAGUUGGUGAGGUAACGGCCCACAAAGCCGACGAUCGGUAGCCGACCUGAGAGGGUGAUCGGCCACAUUGGGACUGAGACACGGCCCAAACUCCUACGGGAGGCAGCAGUGGGGAAUAUUGGGCAAUGGGGGAAACCCUGACCCAGCAACGCCGCGUGGAGGAAGAAGGUUUUCGGAUCGUAAACUCCUGUCCUCAGGGAAGAGCAGAAGACGGUACCUGAGGAGGAAGCCACGGCUAACUACGUGCCAGCAGCCGCGGUAAUACGUAGGUGGCAAGCGUUAUCCGGAUUUACUGGGUGUAAAGGGCGCGUAGGCGGGGAUGCAAGUCAGAUGUGAAAUCUAUGGGCUCAACUCAUAAACUGCAUUUGAAACUGUAUCUCUUGAGUGCUGGAGAGGUAGAUGGAAUUCCUUGUGUAGCGGUGAAAUGCGUAGAUAUAAGGAAGAACACCAGUGGCGAAGGCGCCUUGCUGGACGAUAACUGACGCUGAGGCGCGAAAGCGUGGGGAGCAAACAGGAUUAGAUACCCUGGUAGUCCACGCUGUAAACGAUGAAUACUAGGUGUGGGGAGGACUGACCCCUUCCGUGCCGCAGUUAACACAAUAAGUAUUCCACCUGGGGAGUACGACCGCAAGGUUGAAACUCAAAGGAAUUGACGGGGGCCCGCACAAGCAGUGGAUUAUGUGGUUUAAUUGGACGCAACGCGAAGAACCUUACCAGGGUUUGACAUCCAACUAACGAAGUAGAGAUACAUUAGGUGCCCUUCGGGGAAAGUUGAGACAGGUGGUGCAUGGUUGUCGUCAGCUCGUGUCGUGAGAUGUUGGGUUAAGUCCCGCAACGAGCGCAACCCCUAUUGUUAGUUGCUACGCAAGAGCACUCUAGCGAGACUGCCGUUGACAAAACGGAGGAAGGCGGGGACGACGUCAAAUCAUCAUGCCCCUUAUAUCCUGGGCUACACACGUAAUACAAUGGUGGUAAACAGAGGGAAGCAAUAGAGCGAUCUGGAGCAAAUCCCUAAAAGCCAUCUCAGUUCGGAUUGCAGGCUGCAACUCGCCUGCAUGAAGCUGGAAUUGCUAGUAAUCGCGGAUCAGCAUGCCGCGGUGAAUACAAUGCCGGGCCUUGCACACACCGCCCGUCA